UUAAGCGACUAAGCGUACACGGUGGAUGCCCUGGCAGUCAGAGGCGAUGAAGGACGUGCUAAUCUGCGAUAAGCGUCGGUAAGGUGAUAUGAACCGUUAUAACCGGCGAUUUCCGAAUGGGGAAACCCAGUGUGAUUCGUCACACUAUCAUUAACUGAAUCCAUAGGUUAAUGAGGCGAACCGGGGGAACUGAAACAUCUAAGUACCCCGAGGAAAAGAAAUCAACCGAGAUUCCCCAGUAGCGGCGAGCGAACGGGGAGCAGCCCAGAGCCUGAAUCAGUGUGUGUGUUAGUGGAAGCGUCUGGAAAGGCGCGCGAUACAGGGUGACAGCCCCGUACACAAAAAUGCACAUGCUGUGAGCUCGAUGAGUAGGGCGGGACACGUGGUAUCCUGUCUGAAUAUGGGGGGACCAUCCUCCAAGGCUAAAUACUCCUGACUGACCGAUAGUGAACCAGUACCGUGAGGGAAAGGCGAAAAGAACCCCGGCGAGGGGAGUGAAAAAGAACCUGAAACCGUGUACGUACAAGCAGUGGGAGCACGCUUAGGCGUGUGACUGCGUACCUUUUGUAUAAUGGGUCAGCGACUUAUAUUCUGUAGCAAGGUUAACCGAAUAGGGGAGCCGAAGGGAAACCGAGUCUUAACUGGGCGUUAAGUUGCAGGGUAUAGACCCGAAACCCGGUGAUCUAGCCAUGGGCAGGUUGAAGGUUGGGUAACACUAACUGGAGGACCGAACCGACUAAUGUUGAAAAAUUAGCGGAUGACUUGUGGCUGGGGGUGAAAGGCCAAUCAAACCGGGAGAUAGCUGGUUCUCCCCGAAAGCUAUUUAGGUAGCGCCUCGUGAAUUCAUCUCCGGGGGUAGAGCACUGUUUCGGCAAGGGGGUCAUCCCGACUUACCAACCCGAUGCAAACUACGAAUACCGGAGAAUGUUAUCACGGGAGACACACGGCGGGUGCUAACGUCCGUCGUGAAGAGGGAAACAACCCAGACCGCCAGCUAAGGUCCCAAAGUCAUGGUUAAGUGGGAAACGAUGUGGGAAGGCCCAGACAGCCAGGAUGUUGGCUUAGAAGCAGCCAUCAUUUAAAGAAAGCGUAAUAGCUCACUGGUCGAGUCGGCCUGCGCGGAAGAUGUAACGGGGCUAAACCAUGCACCGAAGCUGCGGCAGCGACGCUGAUGCGUUGUUGGGUAGGGGAGCGUUCUGUAAGCCUGCGAAGGUGUGCUGUGAGGCAUGCUGGAGGUAUCAGAAGUGCGAAUGCUGACAUAAGUAACGAUAAAGCGGGUGAAAAGCCCGCUCGCCGGAAGACCAAGGGUUCCUGUCCAACGUUAAUCGGGGCAGGGUGAGUCGACCCCUAAGGCGAGGCCGAAAGGCGUAGUCGAUGGGAAACAGGUUAAUAUUCCUGUACUUGGUGUUACUGCGAAGGGGGGACGGAGAAGGCUAUGUUGGCCGGGCGACGGUUGUCCCGGUUUAAGCGUGUAGGCUGGUUUUCCAGGCAAAUCCGGAAAAUCAAGGCUGAGGCGUGAUGACGAGGCACUACGGUGCUGAAGCAACAAAUGCCCUGCUUCCAGGAAAAGCCUCUAAGCAUCAGGUAACAUCAAAUCGUACCCCAAACCGACACAGGUGGUCAGGUAGAGAAUACCAAGGCGCUUGAGAGAACUCGGGUGAAGGAACUAGGCAAAAUGGUGCCGUAACUUCGGGAGAAGGCACGCUGAUAUGUAGGUGAAGCGACUUGCUCGUGGAGCUGAAAUCAGUCGAAGAUACCAGCUGGCUGCAACUGUUUAUUAAAAACACAGCACUGUGCAAACACGAAAGUGGACGUAUACGGUGUGACGCCUGCCCGGUGCCGGAAGGUUAAUUGAUGGGGUUAGCGCAAGCGAAGCUCUUGAUCGAAGCCCCGGUAAACGGCGGCCGUAACUAUAACGGUCCUAAGGUAGCGAAAUUCCUUGUCGGGUAAGUUCCGACCUGCACGAAUGGCGUAAUGAUGGCCAGGCUGUCUCCACCCGAGACUCAGUGAAAUUGAACUCGCUGUGAAGAUGCAGUGUACCCGCGGCAAGACGGAAAGACCCCGUGAACCUUUACUAUAGCUUGACACUGAACAUUGAGCCUUGAUGUGUAGGAUAGGUGGGAGGCUUUGAAGUGUGGACGCCAGUCUGCAUGGAGCCGACCUUGAAAUACCACCCUUUAAUGUUUGAUGUUCUAACGUGGACCCGUAAUCCGGGUUGCGGACAGUGUCUGGUGGGUAGUUUGACUGGGGCGGUCUCCUCCUAAAGAGUAACGGAGGAGCACGAAGGUUGGCUAAUCCUGGUCGGACAUCAGGAGGUUAGUGCAAUGGCAUAAGCCAGCUUGACUGCGAGCGUGACGGCGCGAGCAGGUGCGAAAGCAGGUCAUAGUGAUCCGGUGGUUCUGAAUGGAAGGGCCAUCGCUCAACGGAUAAAAGGUACUCCGGGGAUAACAGGCUGAUACCGCCCAAGAGUUCAUAUCGACGGCGGUGUUUGGCACCUCGAUGUCGGCUCAUCACAUCCUGGGGCUGAAGUAGGUCCCAAGGGUAUGGCUGUUCGCCAUUUAAAGUGGUACGCGAGCUGGGUUUAGAACGUCGUGAGACAGUUCGGUCCCUAUCUGCCGUGGGCGCUGGAGAAUUGAGGGGGGCUGCUCCUAGUACGAGAGGACCGGAGUGGACGCAUCACUGGUGUUCGGGUUGUCAUGCCAAUGGCACUGCCCGGUAGCUAAAUGCGGAAGAGAUAAGUGCUGAAAGCAUCUAAGCACGAAACUUGCCCCGAGAUGAGUUCUCCCUGACCCUUUAAGGGUCCUGAAGGAACGUUGAAGACGACGACGUUGAUAGGCCGGGUGUGUAAGCGCAGCGAUGCGUUGAGCUAACCGGUACUAAUGAACCGUGAGGCUUAACCUU
Molecule: ribosomal RNA, 2901 nt
Filed under: Escherichia coli O182:H21
Lineage: Bacteria; Pseudomonadati; Pseudomonadota; Gammaproteobacteria; Enterobacterales; Enterobacteriaceae
Description: bacterial LSU rRNA
Rfam family: Bacterial large subunit ribosomal RNA
Source: RNAcentral